This 480-nucleotide ribosomal RNA is filed under the name uncultured Curtobacterium sp. RNAcentral describes it as "bacterial SSU rRNA". It matches the Rfam family "Bacterial small subunit ribosomal RNA", at positions 901 to 1382 of the family's 1533-position model. Lineage: Bacteria; Bacillati; Actinomycetota; Actinomycetes; Micrococcales; Microbacteriaceae. The record is from RNAcentral.
UUAAAGGAAUUGACGGGGCCCGCACAAGCGGCGGAGCAUGCGGAUUAAUUCGAUGCAACGCGAAGAACUUACCAAGGCUUGACAUACACCGGUAACGCCCCAGAGAUGGGUGCCCCUUUGUGGUCGGUGGACAGGUGGUGCAUGGUUGUCGUCAGCUCGUGUCGUGAGAUGUUGGGUUAAGUCCCGCAACGAGCGCAACCCUCGUCCUAUGUUGCCAGCGGGUCAUGCCGGGGACUCAUGGGAGACUGCCGGGGUCAACUCGGAGGAAGGUGGGGAUGACGUCAAAUCAUCAUGCCCCUUAUGUCUUGGGCUUCACGCAUGCUACAAUGGCCGGUACAAAGGGCUGCGAUACCGCGAGGUGGAGCGAAUCCCAGAAAGCCGGUCUCAGUUCGGAUUGGGGUCUGCAACUCGACCCCAUGAAGUCGGAGUCGCUAGUAAUCGCAGAUCAGCAACGCUGCGGUGAAUACGUUCCCGGGCCUU